CUUAUCCGUGCUUCUUUAAGUUGCAAACACGUAUGACACACGUGUCGCUUUUGUUGAGCCGUUCUCCACUUCUCACUUCUUAGUAUUCCUUUCUUCCUUCUAGAGUCGUAAACAUAGAGAUUACCAUCUUCAAUCACCUUUCAGUUUUUCACCUCCUCAUCUGUGUUCUUUGUCUUUCAUUGGAGUCGAUGGAUUGAACACAGAACUUUCUUUUGAUGUUCGCCAAUGUUGAAUUUCUGCAACUAUUCUGGAGAAAAAUUCUCAUAUGAAGUCGAGAUUAUAUUGAUAUAAUGGGACUACUGUGUCGGGAUUCACUGAUCUCAUCCCCGAUCCCCACUCUAUUUGCACCUCCUAUCCUCCUCAGGACUCAGGGGAAUUUUCAGCUUAGGUACACUAACUGCACUCAGCACAUUGAAUUGCAAUCUGGAAAGAAAAUAUAGGAACAAGGGAAGAACUUUGAUGCAGCCAAAUUGGUUGACAAUAUGCCUAAAACAACAUAUUAAAUAAUUUCAAGUAAAAUAUAUAUGAGACUUUGAAACAACAUACCAACGAGGAUGUGUAGUUGCUUAGACAACUGCAGCAAAAGCACAGACAGAGUGGAUGGAGUUCAACUAAAAGUUCAUGCUGAAGUCUAUUGUGCAACUAGCCAAAACUCCCAUCGUCUUAUAUUAUGCAGCUAGGCGAAAUGGCCAUCCUCUUAUAUUGGGAAGAAUUUUGUCAUUUUUCUGUAUAUCUUCUUCAAUAUCUCUUUAAUUGUCAUACUUUACUAAAAUUACUCUCUUAAACUAGAUACUUAUUCAAUUUGUAUCACCUAAAAAGAACAUGGAAUAACUGCCACAUCAAAUAUAUACUUUCAAAGAGUUUUUCCUAGGAUGAUCAUCCAAAAACACUAAUAUUUGGUGUUUGUAACAAACCAACUAAUGCAAUUUCUCAUCACACCUCAAGGAAAUCUAACUCGGUAUUCAAAAAAUACCCAAAUUUAUGUUUGACAUAAAGUUUUCAUAUUUCAGUGGUUAGUAAGAAAUCAAGAAAGAAUGUCAAGCACUGUCAGGAAAGUCAUUCGUUGCAAAGGUGCUGUGGCAUGGGAGCCAGGGAACAAAUUACUGAUCGAGAAAGUGAAAGAUUUACUAAUUUCAGUAAAUAUCACAAGCUGGAUCGACUUUUUCUUUUUAAUUCCUUUGGAUAAUGUAGGAGCAAUAUUCAUUCUUUCCUCGCAUUCUUGGACGUGAAGCAGCAGGGAAAACUUAUUGCAUCCAAGGUUAUAGAUUUAGGAAUCAGAAAGGUUAGUCAAAAACUCUAAUUUGCUCAGCUAUAUGGCAUGGCACAACGGUUUUCUUUUGAUCUGAGAAAUGCACAAUUUCAUGCAAGCAAGUAUUUACCAUUUGGACCUGUUAGCAACAUAUUCAAAUAUAAGGUACAUUAUUUUCUUCACUGAAUGUUAUUGUUGAACAAUAUAUAUGAGGUUCCCGCACUUUCUCUCAAGGUUGAAACCCCAAUCAUCAAAGACAAUAGUAAGAGAAUCCAAAUUCAAAUGACGAGGCAUUGAUUCUUUGGAUGGUUCUAUAUAUAGGGAAUUGCAUUGGGUGUUAAUUAAUUGUACUAUAAUUUUAUGUUUCUGAGAAUUACUUUGAUAACUAAUACUAUAAAUAUGUUGCAACUCUUGCUUGCUUUAGAAGUCGACAAAAGUGUGUUGAUAUUAUGACUUAUUGAUCCAUUUCAAUGAAUGUGUUUGUUAUAUAUAAUUUUUCUUAGUUUUGCCUUUGGAGCUUUUGUGAUUAAAAGUUUUUGUUAAAUUUCUUAUUUUGUUGACAUGUCGAGCUUGGUUUCUAUAAUAAUACAAAGAAGUCAAUAAAAAGGACAAAUGAAGUGAGUAGCAUUACUGGUUCAAUCAGCCUACUGAUCAGUAGAAUGGCCAUUAAAUUAGCGCUGCUUGAUACAUGAUUUUCUGGUCUGAAAGCACAAAUAUUUAAAAAAUGAAAAUAUACUUAUUGAUUUUAUUGGUUACUAAUAAUCGUACUAACCAUAGAUCGUACCAGUAGCUUCAAUAUAGAAUCGUUUUCUUCAUUAUCGAUCUGUUGUGUGCUUUUGGUGUUGUCAAAAAGAUUAGAGUAGUACAAAUUUCGUCUUCAUGUCUUAAUAUCUAAUUCCUUUAAGAAGUACCCUGUACUGAAUAACCAUUUUCACGUAAUUUUGGUUUCGCUUGAGUAGUACAUACGGCAUUGUGUAAAAUUACAUGUGCAUCCCUGCUUCUUUAAGUUGCAAACACGUAUGACACACGUGUCGCUUUUGUUGAGCCGUUCUCCACUUCUCACUUCUUAGUAUUCCUUUCUUCCUUCUAGAGUCGUAAACAUAGAGAUUACCAUCUUCAAUCACCUUUCAGUUUUUCACCUCCUCAUAUGUGUUCUUUGUCUUUCAUUGGAGUCGAUGGAUUGACCACAGAGCUUUCUUUUGAUGUUUGCCAAUGUUGAAUUUCUGCAACUAUUCUGGAGAAAAAUUCUCCUAUGAAGUCGAGAUUAUAUUGAUAUAAUGGGACUACUGUGUCCGGAUUCACUGAUCUCAUCCCCGAUCCCCACUCUAUUUGCACCUCCUAUCCUCCUCAGGACUCAGGUCAUUCUUUUAUUGAUUGAAAAUUGGGGAUUUUUGGGUUAUAGAUUUGAUUUACUUUUUUAUCGCAACAAUUCAUCUCUUGCAGAACUUCUGUUAAUUCCUUUUUUUUGACGUUCAAUUUGCCUAGGGGAAUUUUCAGCUUAGGUACACUAACUGCACUCAGCACAUUGAAUUGCAAUCUGGAAAAAAAAUAUAGGAACAAGGGAAGAACUUUGAUGCAGCCAAAUUGGUUGACAAUAUGCCUAAAACAACAUAUUAAAUAAUUUCAAGUAAAAUAUAUCUUCUUCAAUAGCUCUUUAAUUAUCAUACUUUACUAAAAUUACUCUCUUAAACUAGAUACUUAUUCAAUUUGUAUCACCUAAAACGAACAUGGAAUAACUGCCACAUCAAAUAUACACUUUCAAAGAGUUGUUCCUAGGAUGAUCAUCCAAAAACACUAAUAUUUGGUGUUUAUAAAAAACCAACUAAUGCAAUUUCUCAUCACACCUCAAGGAAAUCCAACUAGGUAUUCAUAAAAUACCCAAACUUCUGUUUGACAUAAAGUUUUCUAUUUCAGUGGUUAGUAAGAAAUCAAGAAAGAAUGUCAAGCACUGUCAGGAAAGUCAUUCGUUGCAAAGGUGUUGUGGCAUAGGAGCCAGGGAACAAAUUACUGAUCGAGAAAGUGAAAGAUUUACUAAUUUCAGUAAAUAUCACAAGCUGGAUCGAAUUUUUCUUUUUAAUUCCUUUGGAUAAUAUAGGAGCAAUAUUCAUUCUUUCCUCGCAUUCUUGGACGUGAAGCAGCAGGAUUUGAGACAAAUCACCUGAUCAACAAGAAAGCCCUUACCAGAUUUGAGAGGUAUCCAUGUCAUGAAGCACUAGGUUAUUCAAGGAAAGCUCUAUUAUUUAGCUUAACUCAUGAUCCAUACUGAUGGUUAUUCUGAAUCUGGCAAAGAUACCAGCUGUGGCUGUUUAAUUGUUGCAAACUAGCUUUACAAAGCUAGCUCGUGAACUUGUUGUAGCUGCGUGUAAUGAACAACUUAAUAAUCACAUUGAUGUAGAGCAGAAUUUUGAAUAGUGCUACUUUUUGUAUGUAUGAGGAAAGCAUAUUCAAGUACUUGCAAUUUUCGAACCUUCCAUAGGACAUCUGUCCGUUGAUAGGAGAAAGCUUCCGAACAACUUCAAGGUGAAUAUUUAUGAUGCAAAGAGGCCAUUGUUUAAUGUUCGAUAUUACAGAAUCAUAGCAACGAAAGCGACUACGGGAAGACCACCUCUAAUGUUGUCAGUAUCCUAUCUAUUGAAUGAACUUUUGCGUACUUCUAUUCUUAUAAACUUCUUUUCAGUGGAUUUCAAGUGUUAAUAGACCCGGUGUGGUAAAUGUGCAAUUUUUUUUCGAUUCUCUGUUUCUUGCCUCCAGAUAUCAACAUGUAUCUGUAAUACAAUUUCUGAAGUGGUGUUACUUUCUUAAGGAUGUCCAAUAAGUACCAAUCGUGUUUUUAGGUUAGGAAGCUGUACAGAAAUUAAGACACUACUGAUAUUGGGUGUGUGUUGGCACAAGUGAAAUUUCUUUUGUAACAAAUUCCGAACUGUAAUUGUCAGGGAAUCAGGUUAUCAAAGGGAACAUGAACAAUCUGACUUUUUUUUUUUAAUCUUUUCUCAUUAGCCAGCUCAAGAAUGUAAUUAUGCAACUUUGUUCCGCAAAUGAAUAAUACAAAUCAUAUUAUAUUGAUGUUUACUUGGC
Molecule: long non-coding RNA, 4324 nt
Organism: Lycium barbarum (goji berry)
Lineage: Eukaryota; Viridiplantae; Streptophyta; Magnoliopsida; Solanales; Solanaceae
Exons: 7
Source: RefSeq, a predicted model, not a curated record